Molecule: ribosomal RNA, 393 nt
Filed under: uncultured bacterium
Lineage: Bacteria
Description: bacterial SSU rRNA
Rfam family: Bacterial small subunit ribosomal RNA
Source: RNAcentral
GUAGAUUGGGAGUAACUCCGGGAAACCGGGGACGUAAUGCCGAAUAAUCCAUUUUGCUUCAUGGCGAGAUGUUGAAAGAACGGUUUCGGCUGUCACUACAAGAUGGCCCGGCCGGCGCAUUAGCUAGUUGGUAGGGUAAUGGCCUACCAAGGCGACGAUGCGUAGCGACCUGAGGAGGGUGAUCGGCCACACUGGGACUGAGACGCGGCCCAGACUCCUACGGGAGGCAGCAGUAGGGAAUCUUCCACAAUGGACGAAAGUCUGAUGGAGCAACGCCGCGUGAGUGAAGAAGGUUUUCGGAUCGUAAAACUCUGUUGUAAGGGAAGAACACGUACGAGAGUAACUGCUCGUACCUUGACGGUACCUUAUUAGAAAACCACGGCUAACUACGUG